GACGAACGCUGGCGGCGUGCUUAACACAUGCAAGUCGAACGGUGAAAGCGGAGCUUGCUCCGCUGUAUCAGUGGCGAACGGGUGAGUAACACGUGGGCAACCUGCCCCUCACUUCGGGAUAACUCCGGGAAACCGGGGCUAAUACCGGAUAUGACCUCCUUGGGCAUCCUUGGAGGUGGAAAGUUUUUCGGUGAGGGAUGGGCCCGCGGCCUAUCAGCUUGUUGGUGAGGUAGUGGCUCACCAAGGCGACGCCGGGUAGCCGGCCUGAGAGGGCGACCGGCCACACUGGGACUGCGACACGGCCCAGACUCCUACGGGAGGCAGCAGUGGGGAAUAUUGCGCAAUGGGCGAAAGCCUGACGCAGCAACGCCGCGUGCGGGAUGACGGCCUUCGGGUUGUAAACCGCUUUCAGCAGGGAAGAAGCCGCAAGGUGACGGUACCUGCAGAAGAAGCACCGGCUAACUACGUGCCAGCAGCCGCGGUAA
Molecule: ribosomal RNA, 485 nt
Filed under: uncultured bacterium
Lineage: Bacteria
Description: partial 16S ribosomal RNA
Rfam family: Bacterial small subunit ribosomal RNA
Source: RNAcentral